AGUCGGGGGCCCUCACAUGGUGCUGAUGGAUACCCCUAGGAAAUCAGUGAAAUUAGUACACCUGAAUUCCCAGGAGACCCCCGAGGCCCCGGGCGCUGGCCCUGAUCCUAAAGCUGGGAUGACCACCUUCUUCCUGCGGAUGGAGAUUGUAUUACUUUCUUGGGGGAUGGACCCCAUGUGAAUACAGGCAUCUCCGUCCAGCUUGUGAUUCAGACGUGGAAAGUCAAGGUUCUCCCAAACUGCUGGCCAGCUUCCCAGCCGCGGCACCUGUGCUGAGUCCUCUGUGCCCUGCGCCUGAGCUGGGGGUGUGCCAGCCUUGUGCAUAGGUGGUGGGGGGGCACUCUCACACCUUACUCUAGUGUGUCAGUGUGAUUGGCUGUUUACGUUCCAGUUUUUGUGAUUCUUUUUUUAAAGGCAUGGAACCCAUUCCAGGGGACUUUGGUGGUUGGGGGAGGAAUCAGAAACUAGAUAACCACCAGAGGGUGUUUCCAAGAAUCAUUACUUCCUGAUCUUGCACACUCAAAUCCUUAGCUUGUAGAAAAAUAAAGAUACCAAGUGUCACCAC
Molecule: long non-coding RNA, 565 nt
Organism: Suricata suricatta (meerkat)
Lineage: Eukaryota; Metazoa; Chordata; Mammalia; Carnivora; Herpestidae
Exons: 2
Source: RefSeq, a predicted model, not a curated record